Molecule: ribosomal RNA, 440 nt
Filed under: uncultured bacterium
Lineage: Bacteria
Description: partial 16S ribosomal RNA
Rfam family: Bacterial small subunit ribosomal RNA
Source: RNAcentral
CCUACGGGAGGCUGCAGUGGGGAAUAUUGCACAAUGGGGGAAACCCUGAUGCAGCGACGCCGCGUGAGUGAAGAAGUAUUUCGGUACGUAAAGCUCUAUCAGCAGGGAAGAAAAUGACGGUACCUGACUAAGAAGCCCCGGCUAACUACGUGCCAGCAGCCGCGGUAAUACGUCGGGGGCAAGCGUUAUCCGGAUUUACUGGGUGUAAAGGGAGCGUAGACGGCAGCGCAAGUCUGGAGUGAAAUCCCAUGGCUUAACCAUGGAACUGCGUGUGAAACUGUGCAGCUAGAGUGCAGGAGAGGUAAGCGGAAUUCCUAGUGUAGCGGUGAAAUGCGUAGAUAUUAGGAGGAACACCAGUGGCGAAGGCGGCUUACUGGACUGUAACGGACGUUGAGGCUCGAAAGCGUGGGGAGCAAACAGGAUUAGAUACCCCUGUAGUC